GGCGAACGCUGGCGGCAGGCCUGACACAUGCAAGUCGAACGAACUCUUCGGAGUUAGUGGCGGACGGGUGAGUAACACGUGGGAACGUGCCUUUAGGUUCGGAAUAACUCAGGGAAACUUGUGCUAAUACCGAAUGUGCCCUUCGGGGGAAAGAUUUAUCGCCUUUAGAGCGGCCCGCGUCUGAUUAGCUAGUUGGUGAGGUAAAGGCUCACCAAGGCGACGAUCAGUAGCUGGUCUGAGAGGAUGAUCAGCCACAUUGGGACUGAGACACGGCCCAAACUCCUACGGGAGGCAGCAGUGGGGAAUCUUGCGCAAUGGGCGAAAGCCUGACGCGGCCAUGCCGCGUGAAUGAUGAAGGUCUUAGGAUUGUAAAAUUCUUUCACCGGGGACGAUAAUGACGGUACCCGGAGAAGAAGCCCCGGCUAACUUCGUGCCAGCCGCCGCAGUAA
RNAcentral lists this ribosomal RNA (449 nucleotides) under uncultured bacterium. Its description in RNAcentral is "partial 16S ribosomal RNA". It matches the Rfam family "Bacterial small subunit ribosomal RNA", at positions 28 to 523 of the family's 1533-position model. The record is from RNAcentral.